This 903-nucleotide ribosomal RNA is filed under the name Saccharopolyspora sp. 1WS5_08. RNAcentral describes it as "bacterial SSU rRNA". It matches the Rfam family "Bacterial small subunit ribosomal RNA", at positions 61 to 972 of the family's 1533-position model. Lineage: Bacteria; Bacillati; Actinomycetota; Actinomycetes; Pseudonocardiales; Pseudonocardiaceae. The record is from RNAcentral.
GUCGAACGAUGAACCACUUCGGUGGGGAUUAGUGGCGAACGGGUGAGUAACACGUGGGCAAUCUGCCCUGCACUCUGGGACAAGCCCUGGAAACGGGGUCUAAUACCGGAUAUUGACCUUCACGGGCAUCUGUGAGGUUCGAAAGCUCCGGCGGUGCAGGAUGAGCCCGCGGCCUAUCAGCUUGUUGGUGAAGUAAUGGCUCACCAAGGCGACGACGGGUAGCCGGCCUGAGAGGGCGACCGGCCACACUGGGACUGAGACACGGCCCAGACUCCUACGGGAGGCAGCAGUGGGGAAUAUUGCACAAUGGGCGAAAGCCUGAUGCAGCGACGCCGCGUGAGGGAUGACGGCCUUCGGGUUGUAAACCUCUUUCAGCAGGGAAGAAGCGAAAGUGACGGUACCUGCAGAAGAAGCGCCGGCUAACUACGUGCCAGCAGCCGCGGUAAUACGUAGGGCGCAAGCGUUGUCCGGAAUUAUUGGGCGUAAAGAGCUCGUAGGCGGCUUGUCACGUCGGUUGUGAAAGCCCGGGGCUUAACCCCGGGUCUGCAGUCGAUACGGGCAGGCUAGAGUUCGGUAGGGGAGAUCGGAAUUCCUGGUGUAGCGGUGAAAUGCGCAGAUAUCAGGAGGAACACCGGUGGCGAAGGCGGAUCUCUGGGCCGAUACUGACGCUGAGGAGCGAAAGCGUGGGGAGCGAACAGGAUUAGAUACCCUGGUAGUCCACGCCGUAAACGGUGGGCACUAGGUGUGGGCAACAUUCCACGUUGUCCGUGCCGCAGCUAACGCAUUAAGUGCCCCGCCUGGGGGAGUACGGCCGCAAGGCUAAAACUCAAAGGAAUUUGACGGGGGGCCCGCACAAGCGGCGGGAGCAUGUGGGCUUAAUUCGACGCAACGCCGAAGAACCUU